RNAcentral lists this unclassified non-coding RNA (308 nucleotides) under uncultured Agaricales. RNAcentral describes it as "sequence contains 5.8S rRNA gene". The stretch from base 1 to 53 matches the Rfam family "5.8S ribosomal RNA", at positions 102 to 154 of the family's 154-position model. Lineage: Eukaryota; Fungi; Basidiomycota; Agaricomycetes; Agaricales. The record is from RNAcentral.
GAACGCACCUUGCGCUCCUUGGUAUUCCGAGGAGCAUGCCUGUUUGAGUGUCAUUUAAUUCUCAACCUUAUUAGCUUUUGUUGAUAAUGGCUUGGAUGUGGGGGUUUUCUUUUGCUGGCUUUCUUCGGAUGUCAGCUCCCCUUAAAUGUAUUAGCCGGUGCCCUGCGUGGACUAUCCGUUGGUGUGAUAAUUAUCUACGCCGUUGGAUGUCUGCAAAUAGGUUUUGCACUGCUUCUAACUGUCUGUUCAUUUGGACAAUACAUGACAAUUUGACCUCAAAUCAGGUAGGACUACCCGCUGAACUAAAG